AGAAUACUUGAAAUUUUCCUUUGUAAAUACAUUGUUAUGAUUUUCUAAUCUUCAUUGUUGUUAAUAUAAUUAUAAACUAGAACAUAAUGAUCCCUGGAUUAUUACAAAUUCAAAAUGACUAGCAUCCAAACUAAUGUGGAAAUGAACCUCAUUUUAAAAAUGGGUAAUAGACUAUUCAGGCAUUUGAUUGUCGAGAACCAUUUUGUAAACACUACAUCUAAAUUAAAAUCUAUUGCACUAAUACUGAAGAAGACAUUUGGGAUAUUUCCUUAAAGUUCUCUCAGUCUUAAUUUCUCCAUUGUUUUGUUUCCGUGUUUACAAUGUUUGUUUCUGUCUCUAUGCCUCUCACUCUACAUUCUCAUACUCAUAUCCACAUACACAUCUAAGUACAGAUUCACUUACAUGUAUGUAUGUUAUAUGUACGUGUAUUAGUAAGGUAGAAAGAAGAUGGGGAGAAGUGGACCGAUCUGAGUAGGAUUGGGGAGGUGAUACUAAUGGUUGCUACUGAUAGAAUGGCUGUUGUGAGUGAGAGGCAGUUUUGAGGAUGACUCUGGGGCUUCGGCUUACCUGGCUAUAUUUAUGUGAGUGUCAUUGGCUAUAAUAGGGAGGGAACUCAGGAAAGGACAAAGUAUGAGGGGGAAAGAAUGUUAAUUUAGUCUUAAGCAGGUUGAGUUUGAGAUGCCUUUAAAACAGUCAAGGGAAAUUAUAUUGAACAUUGCUAUUUGAAAUUGAGUGGCCUGGAGAUAUAGAUUUGGAGUCAUCAGCAAAUGGAUGGUAAUUAAAGCUGUGGAAAUGAGUAAGAUUACUGAACCUUUGAAGAAUAAAUCUGUGCUUGAUUUGGGGGUUAUAAAUCUACAAAAUGAGAUUGAUAUAACCUAAAAGCCAGAUGAAACUAGCUUUUCCUCUCAUACGUAUAUCAGUAGUUACAGAAAUAAGAUCAAGGGUGAUUGACAGGUCAAAUAAGAUUAAAAGAAUGUUUAUUGGAUUUAGUGACACAAGGGGAUCAUUGGUGAUCUUUGCAACAGUUGUAUUUUCUUAAUACAUAGUCCUUAUAUUUCUUCAUCCCCAAAUCCUUUCUUGAUCCCUUAGUUCAUACUAAACAAAAUCUAUACUUUUCCACUUGGUGUUUAACUCCCUUUAUGAUUUAAUAGAAUACUAAUUUUAAAGCCUAUGCCACCCAGCUUAUGAGCACAUACCUGAAACUCUAGCCAAACUCGCUACCUUGCCAUUCCUUCUACAGUUGUUUUCCUGUGGUCUCUUUUCUCAUGCUUUUUUCAUUCACUGUUACUGAAAUGUUAUUGGUCUUUGGAGACCCAAACUAAACCUCGUUGAUGUGUUCUUCCCUGGUUGUUGCCCACCAGAUGGGCUCACAAGUCUGAACUUCCAAAUACUUUCUUUUCACAUCUCAGAUGAUACAUGUCACAAAUGAUCUUACAUUUUAAAUACUUUGUACUUGAUUAUGCGUAUUAUGAGUGCCUUGAGAUUUGAGCUUUUUUUCGCUGAUGUUAUAGCUUCUAAAGCACCUAAUAUUUUUUGAGUAAGUGGAUAAAAUUUAGAAUAUAUACUUCAUAGAAUACAAUCUAUAUGUUACUCACCUGAAGACAUAGUUUCAAUUUCUUUUAGUCCUUAUAAUAACUGUAUGAAAUAGUUCCAUUUCAUAGAUAUGAAAAUUUGUAGUUUAUAGAGGCAUAUUUUUAAAAUUCAUCUUUGGGCUAGGGUUUAUUACUUAUAUUUAAAUAGAGGGAUUCCCAAGAUUUUAAAAAGAAGGCUCAUUGAAAGGUUAGCAUCUGAAAGGAAGCAUGUACAUGCAUGCAUGAUAUAUGUGUGUAAACUUUUUUUUUUGGACAGCCACAAUUGAUUUCAAAGUAAAAAUUGUUAACAUUUGUCAUGGAUUGAAUGGGAAACAAAUAGUUUUGAUUUCUUGAAAUAUCCUAAUUGACUUUUAUAUUGUUAGGAUUUAAUUUAAAGUCUUGUUAAACUGUCUAGAAAUUUAGGUAAUGAACUAAAGUAUAUAGGCUCAUUCAUUUAUAGUUUUCCUCACUUUUUCCUUUUUCAUUGCCUGAUACAGUUUUUUGGUGUCUAAGGUGAUGAAAGAAAAGUAUACAACAGUUUUUAAUAUACAGCAGUUUACUGUAUGUGAGGCAUUGCUGUACUCAGUGCUGUAGAAAUGUUAGGAUAUAUCUCUGGUGUAGAAAAUAUCCAAGUGGACAAUACUGUAAUUCAAGCAUAAUAAAAUAAGUAUAAGAAAUAUACUAU
Phyllostomus discolor (pale spear-nosed bat) is the source of this 2256-nucleotide long non-coding RNA. RefSeq lists it as uncharacterized. The record is from RefSeq and is a predicted model, not a curated record. Lineage: Eukaryota; Metazoa; Chordata; Mammalia; Chiroptera; Phyllostomidae. The transcript has 2 exons.